Molecule: ribosomal RNA, 484 nt
Filed under: uncultured bacterium
Lineage: Bacteria
Description: partial 16S ribosomal RNA
Rfam family: Bacterial small subunit ribosomal RNA
Source: RNAcentral
AUUGAACGCUGGCGGCAGGCCUAACACAUGCAAGUCGAGCGGAUGAAGGGAGCUUGCUCCUGGAUUCAGCGGCGGACGGGUGAGUAAUGCCUAGGAAUCUGCCUGGUAGAUAGGGAUAACGUCCGUUAACGGGCGCUAAUACCGCAUACGUCCUGAUGUAGAAAGUGGGGGAUCUUCGGACCUCACGCUAUCAGAUGAGCCUAGGUCGGAUUAGCUAGUUGGUGGGGUAAAGGCCUACCAAGGCGACGAUCCGUAACUGGUCUGAGAGGAUGAUCAGUCACACUGGAACUGAGACACGGUCCAGACUCCUACGGGAGGCAGCAGUGGGGAAUCUUGGACAAUGGGCGAAAGCCUGAUCCAGCAAUGCCGCGUGUGUGAAGAAGGUCUUCGGAUUGUAAAGCACUUUAAGUUGGGAGGAAGGGCAGUAAGUUAAUCCCUUGCUGUUUUGACGUUACCAACAGAAUAAGCACCGGCUAACUUCGUG